This 415-nucleotide long non-coding RNA is filed under the name Mytilus galloprovincialis (Mediterranean mussel). Lineage: Eukaryota; Metazoa; Mollusca; Bivalvia; Mytilida; Mytilidae. The record is from RNAcentral.
UCCUGAAACAUUUGUGGAAAUUCGCCAACCGUUUCAUAAGAUAACCGAUGGGUCUUUCCUGCUAGGAGUUUUUCUAAAACAAAUAUGUUUUUUUUUUAAUUAAAUUUGUUGGAUGGGUACCACUACCCUACGGAGGUACAAGGUGUGUUUUUUUUCAGGGAGAAGGAGGGGGAGGGGCUAGGAUUUAAUUUGAAAAAAGGCAGGACGGGAGUUUUGAGUUGAAAAAAGGCAGAAUGAGUAACUUGGCCAAAAAAAUCCUAAAAUUUAACUUGCUUACUAUGUAUAAUAUAUGAUUAUCAAUCUAGAAUUGAAUGAACUUGUAUAACCCCCAGCCCCCCUUUUUCUAGACCACCCACUCCUACGUGCUUACACCUUUUAUGUCUUAUGCCAGGUUUUAGCCAGCAAUGAUAUCACA